AGGUUGUUAGUUUAAAAGAAAACCCUUGAUUUCGGCUCAAGAGCCUGUGGUUAAAACCCACAACUACCUG
This 70-nucleotide transfer RNA is filed under the name Nannacara anomala (goldeneye cichlid). RNAcentral's name for it is "tRNA-Arg". It matches the Rfam family "tRNA". From Rfam's summary of the family: Transfer RNA (tRNA) molecules are approximately 80 nucleotides in length. Their secondary structure includes four short double-helical elements and three loops (D, anti-codon, and T loops). The record is from RNAcentral. Lineage: Eukaryota; Metazoa; Chordata; Actinopteri; Cichliformes; Cichlidae.